AGUCUUGUAGUCAAUAAUGAUAUUAGAUUGCAAAUCUGAAGGAGUAAAUAAAAAAUUAUUAAGGCUU
Molecule: transfer RNA, 67 nt
Filed under: Vermiophis taishanensis
Lineage: Eukaryota; Metazoa; Arthropoda; Insecta; Diptera; Vermileonidae
Description: tRNA-Cys
Source: RNAcentral